This is an RNA transcript of Xiphias gladius (swordfish), 5501 nucleotides long. It is a transcript of the gene named zinc fingers and homeoboxes 3, with no coding region annotated. NCBI's taxonomy places the organism in Eukaryota, Metazoa, Chordata, Actinopteri, Istiophoriformes, Xiphiidae. The record is from RefSeq and is a predicted model, not a curated record. The transcript is spliced from 10 exons.
CCUCCCCGGUUGUGUUGGGUCAAAGUCAGGACGGGAUGUCUGACUCACUUCUGCUCUCUUCACGGCGGAGCCCGAGCUCUCACGCCAACUCCACCGUCAGUGACGUCUGCGUCACGUGGCCGUCUCUUCCCUCGGUACGUCCGUCGUAUUUUCCUCCCCUCCACCGCCUGCUUUAACACUGAGAGCCACUCGAAAUAAACAAGCGCAAAAAAAGGGGGGCUGUAGUAGGGACCGGCCUGGCUCCCGUGUCACGUUUAUCGCCAGCCGAAGGACAGAGGGGGGCUUCCACCUAUAAGUUGCCAUCAGUGGAGCCCAUACCUCCCGUCAGUUCGCUGGCUCCACUGAGCCCACAUCAUUGUAAACUUUUUUUUAAACCCUGCGCUGCCUACACCGGGUUCCGACAAAGCGAGCCGUUUCAUCCAGCUGAGAGGAAACCAGCUUGAACUGAAUAGCGUUUACCUCAAAAUUGCAGUGAGAACUGCAAGUGGACCUAUGGACAAGUCCCUCCUCCAUCCCCCAGGCCUGGUCUAUAGUCAACUGGAAAAGACUCAUAUUCUCACUCGCACCCCACUCACAGCUAUUUGACCAAACCUCUCCACCCUGUGGUCACACCAUGGCCAGCAAGAGGAAGUCUACUACUCCUUGUAUGAUACCUAGCAAGAUCAUACGCCCUUCAGAGGAGGUUGAACAGGACUCUCCUGUUCUUCUCCGUCAGUCCAGGAUUUUGGGAGGGGGUAGACAUAGCCCCCUAGACCCCGGAGAGUCUUCCAAACCAGAGGCAGGGGACACUGUCAAAGACGGUGCUGGCACUUACACCUGUAAGCCAUGUAACUUUGAAACCCAUGACCUUAACUUGUUCUUGGAUCAUGUGUACACUGGGCACCCAGACUUCCGUGCAGACCCCAGCUUCUUUUGUGUUAGCUGUGGCGUUUCAGCGGCCAAGUUUGAGGGGCUGGCCCUGCACAAUGCCAGGGUCCACCCCAGCACUUUGAACACCACUUUACAGCUGAGGAAGAGGGACAGGAGGGUUGUGGUAGAACAGAAUCUGGUAACUGGGACAGAGUCAGGGAAGGAUAGUGAGAUUUCCAUCACCAAAACCCCAAUAAUGAGGAUGCUGAAGGGCAAAUCGGAGCCUAAACGGAUAGUGGUGUCUCACCCAGUCUCUGACGAGUCUUCCUCAGACCCUCACUCUAUCUCUUCCUCCAGAGAGGUCGAGAGAAAAGAGACUGCUGCUGCGACGGUCACUCAUGUUCCCACAAUAGUCCACAAUGGAACCACCAAGGUCACGCUGCCCUCAGCAAUCCAGAUAGUCAACGGCUCUGGAGCAUUACCGAUGCUCAAGACCCCUAUCACACAGGUGGUCUCAGUGGUUCAGAACAGAAGCCUUCAUCAAUCUACACCAAUACCAGCCUCCUCAAAUGUUUCCUCCACUUCCUCGUCUUCUUCCUCCAAAAACCUCCCCAAGGUAAUGAUUCCUUUGAGCAGCAUCCCUACCUACAGUGCCUCCAUGGACUCCUCUUCCUUCUUGAAAACCUCCUUCAGUAAGUUCCCAUACCCUACAAAGGCUGAGCUCUGCUACCUGACUGUGGUCACAAAGUUCCCCGAAGAGCAGAUUAAGAUCUGGUUCACAGCCCAGAGACUUAAACAAGGGAUCAGCUGGUCUCCUGAGGAGAUCGAGGAGGCCAGGAGGAAGAUGUUCAACACUAUCAUCCAGACAGCACCCUCCAGCUCGCAGAACCAGACCCAGAGUCACCACAGCCCAGCCCAACACACAAUCACAGUCCUGCCUGCUUCACUGGGAGCCACUGGGAUCCCUCAUAUCCUGCAGGGAUCUCUUGUCAGCCAAGGAGGGGUAAUUGUCACACAGCCUGUAAUGGCCAACGGUAUCCAGGUUAGCAGUGCUCCUGUGGCCCUGGCUGUCACACCUAAGCCCCAGGCAGCAGCCCGCCCCAUGAUGCAGGCGCGACCUGCUGCAGCCCUGGUGGCAGACAAAGGCAUCAGCAUGGUGGUGGGAACAGUGGGCAGCAGCAGUACUGGGAGCACCAUCAUUAGCAGCAGUAAUAGUAAUAGGAGUGGGGGAGGGGGCACUAACAGCAUUAUUAGUACUAGUCAGGCUAGUGUCAUCAACCUUAGUCUUGGCAGCAGUAAUCAUAGUAAUGGUAGGGUGGGCAGUGUCAAUGGGAAACACAGCAGUGCUAAUCCAGUCUCAAAUGACAAGAGCAAUAGUAAUGUUACCAGCCAUUUAAAUGCUAAGAACACUGAUAUCAGCAAAGCCAACAGCACCAGCAUUGUGCAGACUGACAUAAAAGUAACCACAGAGAGUAAAAACACCACAGACAGCAAACCUAGUAACAGUAACAGCAACAGCAAAACAGGCAGUGAUGGACAGAGGAGCAAAGAAACUCACUGUAGAGGGAACAAAAAUAGCACAACUAACACAAGCACAGAUGAUGCUGACCCCACUACUAAUGACUCUCCACACAUCAAAAUGGAGGAUGCGUCUUCCCCUGCCUCAAAAUCUUCCUCCCCCUCUCCUGCAGCUCCUCCAAGCAGCACACCUGGCUCCCGGACACCUGUUAACGCAUUCCUUGAUCCCAACUUUUACAAGGGAAAGAAAUCUCAAGAGCAGCUCAAUGCUCUGAAGGAUAGUUUUCAGGUCAGCCAGUUUCCCGACCAGGAGGAGGUUGACCGCCUCAUCGCUCUGACUGGGCUCACAGUACGAGAAGUCCGUAAGUGGUUCAGUGACCGGCGCUACCACUUUCGCAACCUCAAAGGUACACGCACCAGCACGGGUGCCCAGAAUAAGUCUGGCACUACAGCUGGAACAGGGAGUGGUUCAGGUACGCCGGGGAAUGGCGCCACUGGCAGUGCCAACCCUGUCGACCUGUCAGAAGGUAGCAGCAACUCUGGUGCAAAAACACCCCAGCACAGCUCUGCACCCCUGAGUCCAACUGCAUCACAGACUCCCACCUCACCCACCACACCUUCCCGCCGACUCCCCAGACCACCGUCUCCUGAUUUCACAGCUAUCCGCUACAAGGAGAGAGAACCCCACCAGGUAAAGGCACUAGAGGCCAGUUUUGCCCAGGACCCUGACCCAUCUGGAGAAGAAGUUGACAGACUGCGAUCUGAAACCAAGAUGACUAGAAGGGAGAUCCAUGGUUGGUUUGCUGAGAGGAGGAAGAGAGUGGCAGCUGAGAAGAAGAAAGAGGAGGCAGAGCGGGCAAUGAGAGAGGAGGAGGAGGAGGAGAUGGAGGUUGACGGGGAGGAACGACAGAGAGAGGAAGGUUCAGGAGAACUGAAAGUCAACCCUAUUAAAAUAAAUCUGAAGAUGCUGAAGGUGACAGGGGCCAACGGCAAAGCGGAGGGUGAAGGAUUGGACAGUCCUGCUUUGCCGCUUCAAUCCAGUGGCACACUUGCAUCCUCCCCAGGCCCCACCCCAUCCUCCACCCCUAAACCAUCCCAAUCCACCACCCCAACACCAAAACCAUCCCACUCUCCCAAACCCACAGCCAUCAGAGGUAAAAAGACAGCAGACCAACUUCACCUGCUCAAACAAGUCUACGCCCGGACCCAGUGGCCCAGCGCUACUCAGUAUGAUGAACUCAUCUCAGCUACUGGACUGCCCAGACCUGAAGUAGUGCGCUGGUUUGGGGACUGCCGAUAUGUGCAGAAGAAUGGCCAACUGAAGUGGCUGGAGGCUUACCAGACCAUGGCUCUGGAGGAGGAUCUCCAGAAGGAGCACACACAGAUUCUCCAGGCCCACCUCGACGUCCACGGCAGGCUGGAGGAGUCACAGUUGCAGGAACUGGCUCAGGCCAGUGGUUUAACAGCGGACUUGGUGCGACAUUGGUUCUCUACCAACGCGUCUUUGCCCCAGAUGGAAGAAACUGCUGCUGCUCACGUGACAGGACCAAGACCAGUAGCACCAGGCGUGGCAGCUGAACCAGGAACAGCAGGAUCCUCCCCUCUGGAGUCGCAGCCGGGAGGAGGAACAGAGGAGAAAAUGGAGCAGUCGAUGUGUGGUGUCGCAACAGAAGCAGAGGAGGCCAACGCUGACGAGACUGUGAAUCCUACUAAAGAGGCUACCACCUACCCCGCACCUCAACCAUAUCAUGGACCAGUAUGCCCACUGACCACAGACAGACCAAACUGAUAUCAACCUUCAAUUAAACUGCUGGUAAGACAGUGAAUAAGCCGACCCCCAGAUGUCAAGGUGACACAGAAGUGUUAAGGUGGAACAUAGAAAAACACAAUGAUCAUAAUUAUGAGUGAUGAGGCAUGCUGCGAAAGGAACCGACUGAAGAGGCCUUUUGUCUGAGGAUGCAGUUCACAACGCAGGUGGUCUUUGUGUUGGGAGUCUGAGUAAAAGAUGGCAGAUGCGGUUGUAACAGGAUCACUGGAUGGAAAUGGACCUUGAAACCAUCCCCAUCCAUCCCUCCCUCUCUCUCUCUCCUUCUCGCUCACACCCCUAGAGGUAGGCAUGACCUCCCCCCACUACGUGAGAUGGAUGCUGAAGCUACUAACCCCCCCCCCUCCAUCCAUCCAUCCAUCCAUCCAACCACCCACCCACCCAUCCACUCUCCCUGCUCUCCUCCUGUUUUGUCUAACCCUCUGCUACACACACACACACACGCACACACACCCUUCUCCAAUAUCCUCCCGUCCGCCAUUUUCCCUUCAGAAGGAAGUUCCAGUACAAACUGAAGUGGAGGGAGGGGCGAGGCGUUUUUCUGACGUGUUUGCGAGAAUGGGGGGGGUUGAGGGUAGAAGUAGAGGAAGAAGAAGAGGAGGAAAAAAGGGAGAAGUGUGGUUGAGACCUCCCUUGGUUGGGUUUGGACAGCUACAGACCAAGUCAAGCCUCAGACGAGGAUCGGCAGAGUGCUGAGAUACUGUUCAUAGUUUGUUUUGGGUACUAAAAACUGCGCAGCUCUCUGCUACAGGGUGCUUGCCUACGCCUUAAAGUAAAUCAAAAGAACCUUCCUUUUUCCAAUGUGUCAUUUUUUAAACCCCUUUAUCCUCCACCAUGCACUCUCACACUUUGACUUUAUGCUUGCAGCUUACCCUAAGCGUGAUAGCUAGGCUGUUCAUGGCAUCUGAUGUGAAACACAGCACUGAUGUUCAUUUGAUCCUGUCUUGAAGUUAUUUUUGGACAUCUUUGUGCUCACUUUUCAUUUCUUACCUGUACAUACUCUUUGGUUAAAUAGAACAGAAAAUUGUUCAGUAUGGGAAAACGUCUGUAAUUGUUUUAUCCAAAGAGGGCAAGCACCCUGCUGUGUCUAAAACAAAAAAAGAUGACACAACAUAUUAGACUAUACGGAAUUUGGUUUGUGUUGUAGCAUCAAGUGCUUCUUCUUUACGUCACUGACGUGUACGUACAUUUGUUUUUAUGGAACUUUCUUAUGAAAUAAAUUUGACUGUAAAAGAACUGUGAACUUUUAUCAGAGUUCCAUACUUAGGCUUGAUGUAUAAUUUUUACAGAUGGUAUUUGCAGAAUAAAA